Molecule: long non-coding RNA, 1176 nt
Filed under: Oryctolagus cuniculus (rabbit)
Lineage: Eukaryota; Metazoa; Chordata; Mammalia; Lagomorpha; Leporidae
Description: lncRNA (ENSOCUG00000034061.1)
Source: RNAcentral
AUGCUCUCUACAGGAAUCAACCCACGGCCCCUGCCCCCCAGCCAGGAAACCAGGUGGUGGACAGGCUGUGGGGGGCGGGGAGCCCUGGCUGGCACUGCCAGGCAUCAGAUCCUGACCCUGCCACUGCUGGCUCCAAGCAGCCGACCGGGGAAGGAGUGCUUGGCAAGCCGCCGGGAACUUGCCCAAUGUUUGUACUUGUUACACAUUAAUGUACUAGCUGCUUUUGCUUUUCUCCCCUGGGACGUGGGGCUGAGCGGCGUGACGGUGUCCCUGAGACAGGACAGCUUGGGGUUCAAAUGCUACCUCCACCUUCCGCUGGGGAACUCGGACAAGUUCUCUCGCCUGUCUCCCCACCUCACUCAGACUCAAGGCAGUGCCGGACAAGGCCCUGCCUGCCCCCCACCCCACCCCCCAGCCGCAGGGGCAUUCCUGCUACACUCCCUCAGCGCCCUCAGAGCCUGCGCUUGGUCUCCUGCGCCUGGAAGCUCCAGCCCCAGAACUGCCUUCCUGCCCCUCCAGGUCACUGUGCCUCACUCUCACAAUUCUGUUCAGACACUGACUCCUCGCCUCGGUCUUCCUCCACGGCACACACAGCCUGCAGCACGGGUCCGCCCCAUCAACGAAACGGAGAAUCUCCACUGAAGCCGCGCUGCAAGGCUCACGCCAGGCACACGGAUGCCUCCUCAGACAGCCCGCGGCAGCAGGACAAGCCGAGACUUCUUCCCAGCGCUGCCCUAACCUGGGCAAACCACACACACCACAGGGCUCACAGCGUCCUGAGGCCUGAAGACGACACCCAGAGUGCAGACUGCACAGUCUCCAUCAACUCCAGGGGUCAGGGAGUCUGAUUUAAACACUGAUAAUGGGGUUGUGGGGGGCACAACGCUGUGGCUCAGCUUGUUAAUGCCCCAGCCUGCAGCUGGCGCCAGUUCGAGUCCUGGCUGCUCCAAUUCCAAUCCAGCUCCCUGUUAAUGCACCUGGGAAAGCAGUGGAGAAUGACCCAAGUGCUGAGGCCCCUGCACCCACAUGAGACCUCGCUCCCAGCUCAGAUGGGCAUUGUCCCCUUUGGGAGAGUGAACCAGUGAAAGAAAGACACCCCCCCCCCCCCGUUUCCACCUCUCUGUGUAACACUGUCUUUCAAAUAAAUAAAAUAAAUCUUAAAAAAAAAAAAAAAAA